Molecule: ribosomal RNA, 200 nt
Filed under: uncultured bacterium
Lineage: Bacteria
Description: partial 16S ribosomal RNA
Rfam family: Bacterial small subunit ribosomal RNA
Source: RNAcentral
ACGCUCGACACCUACGGGAGGCAGCAGUGGGGAAUAUUGCACAAUGGGGGAAACCCGUGAUGCAGCGACGCCGCGUGAGCGAAGAAGUAUUUCGGUAUGUAAAGCUCUAUCAGCAGGAAAGAAGAAAGACGGUACCUGACUAAGAAGCCCCGGCUAACUACGUGCCCGCAGCCGCGGUAAUCUGAGCGGGCUGGCAAGGC